Oncorhynchus nerka (sockeye salmon) is the source of this 1215-nucleotide long non-coding RNA. RefSeq lists it as uncharacterized. NCBI's taxonomy places the organism in Eukaryota, Metazoa, Chordata, Actinopteri, Salmoniformes, Salmonidae. The record is from RefSeq and is a predicted model, not a curated record. The transcript has 3 exons.
AGGUAACGUUACUCAUUUUAUAACCUUUAUGGUGUUAUAGUCAAUCGUGCUUACGUAGCCACAUUCUUCUAUUAGCUCUGUAAAACAAUGCUAAAUGCGUCAGAGAAGUAUUAUCUUGUGUUGCAUUUUGAAGCUACCCCAUGGCCUUAUGACUCUCAAGUGGUGCAGCGGUCAAAGGCACAGCACAUCAGUACUAGAGGCGUCACUACAGACUCCCUGGUUCAAAUCCAGGCUGCGUUUCCAUCAAAAAACCAGAAACAUUAUUUGUCAAUAUCAUAACUGGAGCUGGACAUCUUUGGAGCUGAAGAAUGAGGACAGCUUUUGUAUGCUAACGUACACUCCUUAACAGUUGUACUGGAUGAAAACACAGCAAGAAAACACAUAUGCCAAUAUGCAUAGUAUCAUGGCUGCAACAACACUGAAUGGCGCAGAGUGGGAGGUUACGUGGUUGACUGCCGGCACGCGCUACUUGUAUCAAUAAAUCACUAUCAGAAAAUGUUUUGUGUGGUAAUUAUUUGUGUAUUUACGAUUUUAUUCACAUGUUUUCAAUUCUAGGUGACAAAUCAUGCAUUCCGAUUCUUGCACAGAUUGUAAUGGGCACAUAUUAUGUGUGUAAAAUACCUUUUUGAAGGUUGUACUGAUUAUGAUGAGCUAAGCUAAUUCCAGCUGUGUAUCCAUGUUUGUUGACAUACAAUGCAUUCUGGGAUUCACGUCUGUUUGACCAAAGAUGUUAUAACAAAAUGAGGUGAGUAAGAGUUCACUAAUUUUUUGAGGACUUACGGAAAUUCAUGGUGGGAUGUGAACGACGGUAGAUGACACACCCCUUCAACAUGCAUACUACAAACAGACCAAACUCAUCUAGUCUUCUCUUAUUAUCUUCGGUUUCUGUGAGGAAAAAAUGCAUGGCUGCGCGCUGAAACUAAUGUCGGAUUACUUUCGAUUUCUAUAAAGUGUUUUACCUAGUUAUUUCGAUCAAUGGUGAGCUCACUCACCCGUGAUGUGAUUAAUUAUAUACAGUAAUUGCUAUUAGCUAAUUCAUAUUGUAGUUUACGUCAGCCGAGAGUUAGAAAAUAUGACUGCUUGUGUUGGGUCAAUCUUUCCUCAGCGCUAGGACAAAUGUAGCCUACAUUUUUCCGGUUAGGAUGAUUGUGUUAUGCUAUAUCUUCUGUGAAUAUCUGAACAAUCCAUCCAAAAAUAAACUGCUGACAUUCUGGA